RNAcentral lists this long non-coding RNA (256 nucleotides) under Lathyrus oleraceus (garden pea). Its description in RNAcentral is "Pisum sativum (pea) long non-coding RNA (PSAT_LNC006007)". The record is from RNAcentral. Lineage: Eukaryota; Viridiplantae; Streptophyta; Magnoliopsida; Fabales; Fabaceae.
GUAUUUCUGCGUUUUUGUGGUGUUCUCGGAGCGCAAAUUUUCGGUCUAUCUUUGGUAUUCAAUCACAGCUCACCCCGUUUGUCUGAUAAGUUGUUCGCUUUCAUCCUACUCGGUUUAACUGAUGAUUGAAUAGGGGCAGGUGUAACACCCCAAAAUUUGCCCUCCUCAUUCAUGCAUUCAUUUCAUAUUGCAUUUCAUCAUGUCAAUCAGAAUUAGAUCCGAAAAAAAAAAAACGAAAAAAAAAUCGAAAAAAAUU